This 427-nucleotide ribosomal RNA is filed under the name uncultured bacterium. RNAcentral's name for it is "bacterial SSU rRNA". It matches the Rfam family "Bacterial small subunit ribosomal RNA", at positions 51 to 524 of the family's 1533-position model. The record is from RNAcentral.
ACACAUGCAAGUCGAACGCUGUAGCAAUACACAGUGGCGGACGGGUGUGUAACACGUGGGAACAUACCCUUCGGUUCGGAAUAACUCAGGGAAACUUGAGCUAAUACCGGAUACGUCCGCGAGGAGAAAGAUUCAUCGCCAAAGGAUUGGCCCGCGUCUGAUUAGCUAGUUGGUGAGGUAAUGGCUCACCAAGGCGACGAUCAGUAACUGGUCUGAGAGGAUGAUCAGCCACAUUGGGACUGAGACACGGCCCAAACUCCUACGGCAGGCACCAGUGGGGAAUAUUGGACAAUGGGCGAAAGCCUGAACCAGCCAUGCCGCGUGAGUGAUGAAGGCCCUAGGGUUGUAAAGCUCUUUUACCUGGGAAGAUAAUGACGGUACCAGGAGAAUAAGCCCCGGCUAACUUCCUGCCAGCAGCCGCGGUGAU